AUUGAACGCUGGCGGCAUGCUUUACACAUGCAAGUCGAACGGUAGAGGGGGCAACCCCUUGAGAGUGGCGAACGGGUGAGUAAUGCAUCGGAACGUGCCCAGUCGUGGGGGAUAACGCAGCGAAAGCUGUGCUAAUACCGCAUACGAUCUCUGGAUGAAAGCGGGGGACCGAAAGGCCUCGCGCGAUUGGAGCGGCCGAUGUCAGAUUAGGUAGUUGGUGGGGUAAAGGCUCACCAAGCCAACGAUCUGUAGCUGGUCUGAGAGGACGACCAGCCAGACUGGGACUGAGACACGGCCCAGACUCCUACGGGAGGCAGCAGUGGGGAAUCUUGCGCAAUGGGCGAAAGCCUGACGCAGCGACGCCGCGUGAGGGAAGAAGGCCUUCGGGUUGUAAACCUCUUUCAGGAGGGACGAAGCCACUCGGGUUAAUAGCCCAGAGGGUGACGGUACCUCCAGAAGAAGCCCCGGCUAACUACGUGCCAGCCGCCGCGGUAA
Molecule: ribosomal RNA, 495 nt
Filed under: uncultured bacterium
Lineage: Bacteria
Description: partial 16S ribosomal RNA
Rfam family: Bacterial small subunit ribosomal RNA
Source: RNAcentral